This 468-nucleotide ribosomal RNA is filed under the name uncultured bacterium. Its description in RNAcentral is "partial 16S ribosomal RNA". It matches the Rfam family "Bacterial small subunit ribosomal RNA", at positions 28 to 507 of the family's 1533-position model. The record is from RNAcentral.
GACGAACGCUGGCGGCGUGCUUAACACAUGCAAGUCGAACGGAAAGGCCCUGCUUUUGUGGGGUGCUCGAGUGGCGAACGGGUGAGUAACACGUGAGUAACCUGCCCUUGACUUUGGGAUAACUUCAGGAAACUGGGGCUAAUACCGGAUAGGAGCUCCUGCUGCAUGGUGGGGGUUGGAAAGUUUCGGCGGUUGGGGAUGGACUCGCGGCUUAUCAGCUUGUUGGUGGGGUAGUGGCUUACCAAGGCUUUGACGGGUAGCCGGCCUGAGAGGGUGACCGGCCACAUUGGGACUGAGAUACGGCCCAGACUCCUACGGGAGGCAGCAGUGGGGAAUAUUGCGCAAUGGGCGGAAGCCUGAUGCAGCAACGCCGCGGGCGGGAUGACGGCCUUCGGGUUGUAAACCGCUUUCGCCUGUGACGAAGCGUGAGUGACGGUAAUGGGUAAAGAAGCACCGGCUAACUACGUG